RNAcentral lists this ribosomal RNA (476 nucleotides) under uncultured bacterium. RNAcentral describes it as "bacterial SSU rRNA". It matches the Rfam family "Bacterial small subunit ribosomal RNA", at positions 22 to 518 of the family's 1533-position model. The record is from RNAcentral.
GGUCAGGACGAACGCUGGCGGCGUGCCUAACACAUGCAAGUCGAGCGAUGAAGUCUCGGAACGGAUUAGCGGCGGACGGGUGAGUAACACGUGGGUAACCUGCCUUGUAGAGGGGGAUAGCCUUCCGAAAGGAAGAUUAAUACCGCAUAAUAUCUUUUUUAUCGCAUGGUAGAAAGAUCAAAGGAGUAAUCCGCUACAAGAUGGACCCGCGGCGCAUUAGCUAGUUGGUGAGGUAACGGCUCACCAAGGCGACGAUGCGUAGCCGACCUGAGAGGGUGAUCGGCCACAUUGGAACUGAGACACGGUCCAGACUCCUACGGGAGGCAGCAGUGGGGAAUAUUGCGCAAUGGGGGAAACCCUGACGCAGCAACGCCGCGUGAAUGAAGAAGGCCUUAGGGUUGUAAAGUUCUGUUUACGGGGACGAUAAUGACGGUACCCGUGGAGGAAGCCACGGCUAACUACGUGCCAGCAGCAGC